GUGAACAGUUGUCCUGAAGCAGGGGCUUCUGGGAAGGAAUCGUCCUAUAUAAGGGGCCAAUUAAUUCUCCCUGGCCCUUUGUUUUGCUUCCCGCUGAGUGGAAUCAUCAGAAUGUACACUGUCUACAUCCCCAUACUCUCUGGUCAAGAGGACAGCUAACUUUCCAGAGCUUCAGGACCCUUGAGAGACAUCCUACAUUUCCUGGGAGCAAACUGACAUUGGAAGGCAAGGGCCAAAAUAUUGGUCCUCUUGGCCCCCAAGUAUGCUUACUGAACAGCCAGAAGACAACAGGGAUCGGAGACCCUGGUGACGAGAGGAAGGAAGAACAAAAACAGCCUGUCCUCUGCCCACCGUAUUGAAGAUCGCCCUGCACACAGAAAUCUGUAAUGUCAAGAGCUACAAAUAAGACAUUAAGUGCUGAAAUCCCUUUUGUGGCAAAGAAAAGGAUUAAGUGUCGGCGACAAGAGUAGGUGACUGGAAAAUGCUGGACUCUUUGGCUGCAGCUCUCUGCUUUUCUUGAAAGAAAUAUGUCUUGUUUGGAUGGCUGGGUGUUGUGGUUUAACUCGGCAAGCCAAAAAUCUGAUGAGGGAAAUGAAAGUCAUGUUUGGAGGACUUUUGAUUGAGCCAAGAGUGAGAAGACAUUUGUCCAGAGUCGUUCACCACAUCCCCAAAGAGAACACACAAUGUCUUCCUUUGAGGUGCCAUAAGAAAGAGAACCUUUUUACUUAGGAAGGAAAAUUUGAUUUCAAGAGUUUGAACAUCAACGGAUUCAUUCCAACCAUAUUUUGAUGAGAAUCUCACUGGCCUCAAACUAGCUAAGAAGACCAGGCUGGCUGGCCCGUGGGCCCUGGAGAUUCAUCCACCUCUGCCUCACCAGCACUGGAAAUUCAAUACAUACCACCAUGCCUAUUUUUUGUUUGUUUGCUUGUAUUUUAACACGGGGUUGAACUCCGGACCUCAGGCUUCCAAGGCAAGCACCUCACCACCAGAGCCAUCAAUCCAUCCAGAGCUGACCCUUUUGUGAACAGCCAAUUGUGGAAAAGCAGUCCACACAGGGUCGGGGAAACUUACAAUGUCAAAUACACAAUGACCUCACACAGAUCAUUAAAAAACGUCAGCAUCCUAAACAAAGUCCCAAAGACUCUCUGAAAAUCCUCUUUUCUUCCCUGUGACAACCCACAAUCACAAGUAUGUGAGUCAGGUCUCCCUAGGUUAUGCUGAUCCAGGGGUUAGAGGUUUGUAAGAACAAAAGGGUUAUUUCUUAUUUGUAAUUUAUUACAUUGGCUGUGGGGAGUCUGAAGUCUUUUCCACAUAGGUAGGAUACAGGGAAGAACAAAAGCCCCUACACAGGCCACUUCAUCCUGGAGGCAACGGGAAAGAAAUCACUCAUAAAAACCACACAUUGCUUCUUCUAACCUCUGCCUACAAGUAGUAUAAGCAACAUCUACUUGUAGUUGAUGGGUCAAAGAAAGUCACAGGUCUAAGUCUGGCAUUAGAGACGAAAGUAAUUCCCACAGGGAGUGAGUUGCAUCAGGGGGCUGUCCUAUAGGGUAGUUCUAUCUAAAUAAAGAUUCUAUCUUUUGUUUAUCACAUAGUAAGUGUUGGAAUUUAGUAGGUAUGCAACGGGUAUUGACUGGAUGGAUAACAAGUACAUUUUCUGCUCUUCUUUUUGACAAGUAGGCCUGUUGAUAUUAGUUCUUUAUAGGGAUUCUAAAGAGAUUAAAUAUUAAUUAGCUUAGUUUAAUCAUUGCAUAUUGUAUUCAGAUCAUAAUACCACAUUGAUCCUAUAAAUACAUGCAAACACAACUUCUCAAUUAAAAACAAAAACAAAAGAAGGUCAAAUGACACAAGGGGCUUUUCCCCCUAGGUAGGUCAGGCUACUCUGUCCAUAGCCAUAGAUGACCUUGAACUUCUGAUGUUCCUGCCUUCAUCUCCAAAGUGCUGGGAUUACAGAGGUAGCUCACCAUACCCAGCUUCUUUCCUUACGGCAAGAGACUGAAAGUUUCACAGCAGUCAUGAUGUGGGCACUCUCGGGGCUGCUCAGAAAAGCUCCCACCUUCACAAUGAUGCCUCAGGCUCCUCCCUAGCUUCCAGUCCUCUCCCUGCCGUCUUCACUCUCCAGGAGCCCCUUC
Molecule: long non-coding RNA, 2132 nt
Organism: Peromyscus leucopus (white-footed mouse)
Lineage: Eukaryota; Metazoa; Chordata; Mammalia; Rodentia; Cricetidae
Exons: 5
Source: RefSeq, a predicted model, not a curated record